UACGAAGGGUGCUAGCGUUGUUCGGAAUCAUUGGGCGUAAAGGGUGCGUAGGCGGUUUGGUAAGUCAGUUGUGAAAGCCCAGGGCUCAACCCUGGAACUGCAAUUGAAACUGCCCGACUAGAAUUUGGUGGGGGAUAAUAGAAUUCCUAGUGUAGGGGUGAAAUCCGUAGAUAUUAGGAGGAAUACCAGAGGCGAAGGCGAUUGUCUAUACCAAUAUUGACGCUGAGGCACGAAAGCGUGGGGAGCAAACAGG
RNAcentral lists this ribosomal RNA (253 nucleotides) under uncultured bacterium. RNAcentral's name for it is "partial 16S ribosomal RNA". It matches the Rfam family "Bacterial small subunit ribosomal RNA", at positions 524 to 776 of the family's 1533-position model. The record is from RNAcentral.